GCAGACACAUUCCAGCCAAUCAGCAGCAGACCCUCCCUCCCAGGCCCUCCCACCUCCUGGACAGCAUCCAUUUUACAUUCAUUGUGAGGCUGCAUUCUUAGUGAGCUGUCCAGGAGGUGGGAGGGUCUGGGAGGGAGGGUCUGCUGCUGAUUGGCUGGAAUGUGUCUG
Pelobates cultripes (western spadefoot toad) is the source of this 168-nucleotide non-coding RNA. The record is from the annotation of a GenBank genome assembly. NCBI's taxonomy places the organism in Eukaryota, Metazoa, Chordata, Amphibia, Anura, Pelobatidae.